GGCCUCCCAGUGCUUACCACAGGCUGUGUUCUCUACGCUGACUGUAUAGAAAGAGGAGGCAUAGUAAUUCCACCCCAUAUACACCCCAGCCCAGGCCUUCUGCCUGGUCUGUAUUGUGAAUGGGGUAACAUGG
Small nucleolar RNA from Sorex fumeus (smoky shrew), 133 nucleotides. RefSeq annotates it as small nucleolar RNA SNORA51. Lineage: Eukaryota; Metazoa; Chordata; Mammalia; Eulipotyphla; Soricidae. The record is from RefSeq and is a predicted model, not a curated record. The transcript has a single exon.